This is a long non-coding RNA of Plutella xylostella (diamondback moth), 805 nucleotides long. RefSeq lists it as uncharacterized. NCBI's taxonomy places the organism in Eukaryota, Metazoa, Arthropoda, Insecta, Lepidoptera, Plutellidae. The record is from RefSeq and is a predicted model, not a curated record.
GUUUUAAAUAAUUUUGUUCCUACAAUAUAUUUUGUUGGAAUUAGUGUCGAUAGCAAGUAUCAAGAAACGGCUUUUUAAUUCAACGUUGAAGAAAUUCAUAACCUGUGGCACUUUUGACAGCCGCCAUGUUUUCUACAUAAAAACAUUGAUUUUCUUUGCUCAUUUUCGUAUCAACGUAGUUUUUUUGGAAAAUAAGAAGAAAGGAAGUUUAACUAACUUAGAGAAAUACGACUGAGACAUAAUCAUGAACGAGAUGAACACAAGCAGCAGCCGAUGUGCUUGAGUUGCAGAUGGAGCAAGUGCGUUAUGAGAGGGCCACGGCUUCAGCCCUCACAAUGAAUAGCUGAAGCAAUGAACAGACAGGCUGCAGUCAAUGAGAGGCUUCUUGAGCAGGGGCUCCUCAUAUGGAAAAAGGCUAAUGAAAGGAACAAUCAAGACUGGCGGUGCGUGGGAGGACCAAUCGAUGCGCCUUCAAUGGCCUCACGCCUCUCUUCUUCCUCUUCUUCAUGCGUCAAUUCAAACAGAGGAGCACCUGUGAUUACUGAUUACCUAAGUUCCUAUAUACAAUAAUAGUUUAAUAAUUGUUAACAAAAUAUUGUAUUAUAUAAGUAUUAAUAACUAUACACAAGGCUAAAAGCAUUUUGUAACAGUCAACCUAUAAGAGAGAAUAUGAGAAAAAAUAAGACAAUUUAAUCUUUGAUUGCCAUUAUCUGUAGCUUUAUUAAGUGGUAAAGGGACCUAAUAUAUGUAUUUGUGAUAAUUCAUAGAAUUUAUUAGUUCUAUCAAUAAAUAAAAUAGACAUGCA